CUGCUAUCGGAUGAUACUAAGCCAUGCGAGUCUUUGCAGUAAUGCAAGGCAUACGGCUCAGUAACACGUAGUCAACCUACCCUAUGGACAAGAAUAAUCUCGGGAAACUGAGCAUAAUUCUUGAUAGAUCAUAAUGCCUGGAAUGGUUUAUGGUUAAAAUGAUUCGUCGCCAUAGGAUGGGACUGCGGCCUAUCAGCUUGUUGGUGAGGUAAUGGCCCACCAAGGCGAUUACAGGCACGGGCUCUGAGAGGAGAAGCCCGGAGAUGGGUACUGAGACACGGACCCAGGCCCUAUGGGGCGCAGCAGGCGAGAAAACUUUGCAAUGUGCGAAAGCACGACAAGGUUAAUCCGAGUGAUUUCUGCUAAAGAAAUCUUUUGCCAGUCAUAAAACCACUGGUGAAUAAGGGGUGGGCAAGUUCUGGUGUCAGCCGCCGCGGUAAAACCAGCACCUCAAGUGGUCAGGAUGAUUAUUGGGCCUAAAGCAUCCGUAGCCGGCUUUGUAAGUUUUCGGUUAAAUCCAUGUGCUCAACGCAUGGGCUGCCGAAAAUACUGCAUGGCUAGGGAGUGGGAGAGGUAGACGGUACUCAGUAGGAAGGGGUAAAAUCCUUUGAUCUAUUGAUGACCACCUGUGGCGAAGGCGGUCUACCAGAACACGUUCGACGGUGAGGGAUGAAAGCUGGGGGAGCAAACCGGAUUAGAUACCCGGGUAGUCCCAGCUGUAAACGAUGCAGACUCGAUGAUGCAUUGGCAUAAUAGCCAGUGCAGUGUCGCAGGGAAGCCGUUAAGUCUGCCGCCUGGGAAGUACGUACGCAAGUAUGAAACUUAAAGGAUUGGCGGGG
This 839-nucleotide ribosomal RNA is filed under the name uncultured marine group I thaumarchaeote. Its description in RNAcentral is "SSU rRNA". It matches the Rfam family "Archaeal small subunit ribosomal RNA", at positions 27 to 873 of the family's 1478-position model. Lineage: Archaea; Thermoproteati; Nitrososphaerota. The record is from RNAcentral.